ACACGACUACAUUAGAUACCCGGGUAGUCCCAGCCCUAAACGAUGCGCGUUAGGUGUAUCGGUGACCACGAGUCACCGAGGUGCCGAAGGGAAACCGUGAAACGUGCCGCCUGGGAAGUACGGUCGCAAGGCUGAAACUUAAGGAAUUGCCGGGGGGAGCACCACAACGGGUGGAGCCUGCGGUUUAAUUGGACUCAACGCCGGGAGGCUCACCGGAUAAGACAGCGGAAUGAUUGCCGGGCUGAAGACCCUGCAUGACCAGCUG
RNAcentral lists this ribosomal RNA (265 nucleotides) under uncultured archaeon. RNAcentral describes it as "partial 16S ribosomal RNA". It matches the Rfam family "Archaeal small subunit ribosomal RNA", at positions 717 to 982 of the family's 1478-position model. The record is from RNAcentral.